Molecule: ribosomal RNA, 632 nt
Filed under: Escherichia coli
Lineage: Bacteria; Pseudomonadati; Pseudomonadota; Gammaproteobacteria; Enterobacterales; Enterobacteriaceae
Description: partial 23S ribosomal RNA
Rfam family: Bacterial large subunit ribosomal RNA
Source: RNAcentral
UGUAUAAUGGGUCAGCGACUUAUAUUCUGUAGCAAGGUUAACCGAAUAGGGGAGCCGAAGGGAAACCGAGUCUUAACUGGGCGUUAAGUUGCAGGGUAUAGACCCGAAACCCGGUGAUCUAGCCAUGGGCAGGUUGAAGGUUGGGUAACACUAACUGGAGGACCGAACCGACUAAUGUUGAAAAAUUAGCGGAUGACUUGUGGCUGGGGGUGAAAGGCCAAUCAAACCGGGAGAUAGCUGGUUCUCCCCGAAAGCUAUUUAGGUAGCGCCUCGUGAAUUCAUCUCCGGGGGUAGAGCACUGUUUCGGCAAGGGGGUCAUCCCGACUUACCAACCCGAUGCAAACUGCGAAUACCGGAGAAUGUUAUCACGGGAGACACACGGCGGGUGCUAACGUCCGUCGUGAAGAGGGAAACAACCCAGACCGCCAGCUAAGGUCCCAAAGUCAUGGUUAAGUGGGAAACGAUGUGGGAAGGCCCAGACAGCCAGGAUGUUGGCUUAGAAGCAGCCAUCAUUUAAAGAAAGCGUAAUAGCUCACUGGUCGAGUCGGCCUGCGCGGAAGAUGUAACGGGGCUAAACCAUGCACCGAAGCUGCGGCAGCGACACUGUGUGUUGUUGGGUAGGGGAGCGUUCU